This 379-nucleotide ribosomal RNA is filed under the name uncultured bacterium. RNAcentral's name for it is "bacterial SSU rRNA". It matches the Rfam family "Bacterial small subunit ribosomal RNA", at positions 521 to 896 of the family's 1533-position model. The record is from RNAcentral.
UGAUACGUAGGGGGCAAGCGUUGUCCGGAUUCACUGGGCGUAAAGAGCUCGUAGGCGGCUUAGUAAGUCGGCGUGUUAAAUCUCCAGGCUCAACCUGGAGUCGCACCCGAUACUGCUAUAGCUAGAGUCCGGUAGGGGACCAUGGAAUUCCUGGUGUAGCGGUGAAAUGCGCAGAUAUCAGGAGGAACACCAGUAGCGAAGGCGGUGGUCUGGGCCGGCACUGACGCUGAGGAGCGAAAGCGUGGGGAGCGAACAGGAUUAGAUACCCUGGUAGUCCACGCCGUAAACGUUGGGCACUAGGUGUGGGACUCUAUCGACGGGUUCCGUGCCGCAGCUAACGCAUUAAGUGCCCCGCCUGGGGAGUACGGCCGCAAGGCUA